This is a small nucleolar RNA of Solanum dulcamara, 90 nucleotides long. RefSeq annotates it as small nucleolar RNA snoR114. The transcript has a single exon. The record is from RefSeq and is a predicted model, not a curated record. Lineage: Eukaryota; Viridiplantae; Streptophyta; Magnoliopsida; Solanales; Solanaceae.
GAGCUGUGAUGAUUAUUGCACUAAUUUGUGAAGUAGGGUCUUCACUACCAUUUGAUAUAAUAUAUGAUGAAAUCAUGUGCUUCUGAGCUC